Sus scrofa (pig) is the source of this 2512-nucleotide non-coding RNA. NCBI's taxonomy places the organism in Eukaryota, Metazoa, Chordata, Mammalia, Artiodactyla, Suidae. The record is from RefSeq and is a predicted model, not a curated record.
CUCACAGCAACGCUGGAUCCUUAACCCACUGAGUGAGGCCAGGGGUCGAACCCACAACCUCAUGGUUCCUAGUUGGAUUAAUUUCCGCUGUGCCGCAAUGGGAACUCCUAAUCGUUUUCUUUAUGGUUGGUGUUUGUGUGUCCUCUUUAAGAAACUUUUGCAUAACCCAAUGAAGAUAUCCCCUUGUUUUCUUCUAGAAGCUUUGUUUUUGCCUUUUCUGAUUGUUUGAUUCUUCAUACACAGGGAAUUGAUAUUUAUGUUUGAUGUUAAUGUCACUGAAUUCAGAUUUGGCUGCUCGUUGCUCGAGAAUCCAAUACUGAGAGACAAGUGUUGGGUAAGAUGCUUUAUUGUGGAAGCUGGCAGUCUUGGCGAGGAGGCAGACUCAUGUCCCAAAGAACCAACUUCCCAUUGUUGAUCAGGGGGGCCCACGGCUCCUUCGGCGAUAACCUUCCUCCUUGAUCGUGUAAGAGGCCACCGAUGACCCGUGACCGACGACUUGCUUUGCACACGGAGAUCUGGGUUGUGUCAAGCCAUUGGACCUAUAACCCUUCGUCUCGAAAGCUGGUGUUACUGUGCCUUGGCCUCUAAAGGGCAGGACAGUCCUCGGAGCUGUUUGAAAGACUGUUUCCCGGGUUGUCAUCCUCACGGUGGCUCGAAUGAACUUUUCCAUUUCUUUCUUAGAUCGACUAUGGAUUCAUUUUUUUUCAUCAAUGGUGGUUAAGGACCCGGGCCCCCAUCGAGGCCGUUGGUCAUCGGCCAGCCACAGGCCUGCAUCCCGGACAGGCACUGUCCCCGGGAGGCCUGGCCGGGGCUGUGUCUAGCCUUUGGCAGGGCAGCUGGGCCUUUGGAGAAGCCACUUGGCAAGAUGGGACAUGCUGGGGACACAUUCGCCCUCCCAAACCAAGGAGGCGGGAGGACGCCCCGUGCCCAGGAGUCUCAUCAUCUUGCUUGGUCUCGAUGCUGCCUUUCGACGGGGGACCCCAGAAGAAGGAGCUGGGGGGGAUCCUUGGGCAGCCCCCACAAGCUGCCACACAGCAUCUGAGCUUUGCAAGAUGGUCCCACUGUGUUGAAAACAACCACUACCCCGGUACACACGCUAAGGAAGCCAAGAAGUCAAACGAGAUCUACCGGGCUGAGCUCCCGCUAUGAAUCUGGCAGCCCGUCCACCCUGAGAACAGGCUUUGCAGCAGUGAUUAUGCUUAUUUCUGCUUCAGAGAGGUGAAGCGAUUCACCCAAGGUCCCACAGUGGCAGGGCCGGCGGGGGUAACCCCAGGAGAUCCAGGCCAAACCUUCCCCCCCGACAGCCGACAGCCGAGCCCCAGCCCAUGAGACUGACUCCAGGCAGGAAGGGAGAUGUUUUAGGCCCCAAGGGAGGGCUCAGGGAAGCCGCCUCCUUCCUCCCCCCACCAAAGAAUCCAAAUCUCCCUUGGGGUGGGCCACACCCUGCCGCCACCUCGGCCUUUCCUGCAGGUGGGGCAGGGAGUCUCAUUCCAGCUUCAGGAGGAAAAAGCUGAGGCUCAGAGAGGGCAAGGGGCUUGGCCAGGACCACACAGGCUCAGGGGCAGGACUUGGACCCAGGCCUCCGGAGGCUGAAGACAGAGAGGCAGCAGGAGUGGGUCCAGCCAGGUCUGGGGCUGGGCAGUGAUGCUGGGUCAACCCUACCCGGCUCAGGGGGUGGUAAGGGCCAGCCAUCUGGCCCACGAAGCUGGGGAGGGUGGACAAAGGACAGGGCUGGGGGAGCAGCAGAGGGGCCCCUGCAAGUCCCUGAGUCCGAGUCCUGCCAGGCUGUGAAUCCAGGGGAACUGGCUUUGACCAAGGGAGCAACGUGGUGAAUGCAGGGGCCCCAGGAGCUCAGAGCAGGUGUCUGAACAUUGCAGUCUUGUGAAAACGUAUCUAGGUUUAGAUUAGCUUUAUUUACCCUGCUUGAUACGUGUUGUGAUUUCUAUGCGUGUAGAUUCAUAACUUGUACCAUUUCUGGAAAAUUCUCAGCCGUCAUCUCUUCAUUGGCCACUUCUCCUCUGACCCGGCCCUCGGGGACUCAGGUCAGACCUGCUCUUUUCCGUGUUUUCCAUGCCCCUGUGCCGUGUUCUGAGCGAUUUCUUCAUAUUUCUCUCCCAGCUCUGCCCUCCAGCUAAUUCUCUUUUUUGUCUAAUCCGCUGUUUAAGGCCCUCUGCAGUGAGAAUUUAAUUUUUAAAAAUUGUAUAUUUAAAGGCUACGUGUUCUAAUUAAUUUGAUUUUAAUCAACCUGACCAAUUUGCCUGCUCUCUUGUUCCCUGCUCACUGGUUUUAUCCCGUAUUUUAUAUUUCUAAAAGUUUGAAACUUGGUGGUUUUAUAUUCUAAGAACUGAUAGCAACUACCUGCAGUCCUCCGUGUGGGGCGGGGUUAGGCUUACCUUUCUUGUGCAUUAUUUCAGUUCUCACUCGGUGUGUGCCUGUGUUUUGUAAAUUGAUAUAUUAUUGAAUUGAAGCUGGAAACCCAGAGAGUUCUAAAUAGAGGAUGCUUCGCUCCAAA